ACGGCUCAGUAACACGUGGCUAACCUACCCUCAGGACGGGGACAAACCCGGGAAACUGGGGCUAAUAUCCGAUAGGCGAGGAAUCCUGGAAUGGUUCUUCACCCAAAGGACAUUGGAAACAUGCUUUCUCUGUCGCCUGGGGAUGGGGCCGCGUCCGAUCAGGUUGUUGGUGAGGUAAUGGCUCACCAAGCCUUUAACCGGUACGGGCCAUGAGAGUGGUAGCCCGGAGAUGGGUACUGAGACAAGGACCCAGGCCCUACGGGGCGCAGCAGUCGCGAAAACUCCGCAAUGCACGAAAGUGUGACGGGGCUACCCCGAGUGCCGUCCGCUGAGGAUGGCUUUUCCUUGGUGUAACUAGCCGGGGGAAUAAGGAGAGGGCAAGACUGGUGUCAGCCGCCGCGGUAAUACCAGCUCUCCGAGUGGUAGGGAUGAUUAUUGGGCUUAAAGCGUCCGUAGCCGGCUUAGCAAGUUUCCUGUUAAAUUCAGCGACCUAAUCGUUGAGCCGCGGGAAAUACUACUAGGCUAGGAGGCGGGAGAGGUCGACGGUACUUCUGGGGUAGGGGUGAAAUCCUAUAAUCCCGGGAGGACCACCAGUGGCGAAGGCUGUCGACUAGAACGCGCUCGACGGUGAGGGACGAAAGCUGGGGGAGCGAACCGGAUUAGAUACCCGGGUAGUCCCAGCUGUAAACGAUGCGGGCUAGGUGUUGGGGUGGCUACGUGCCACUUCAGUGCCGCAGGGAAGCCAUUAAGCCCGCCGCCUGGGGAGUACGGCCGCAAGGCUGAAACUUAAAGGAAUUGGCGGGGAAGCAC
Molecule: ribosomal RNA, 810 nt
Filed under: uncultured archaeon
Lineage: Archaea
Description: bacterial SSU rRNA
Rfam family: Archaeal small subunit ribosomal RNA
Source: RNAcentral